RNAcentral lists this transfer RNA (74 nucleotides) under Aerococcus christensenii. It matches the Rfam family "tRNA". From Rfam's summary of the family: Transfer RNA (tRNA) molecules are approximately 80 nucleotides in length. Lineage: Bacteria; Bacillati; Bacillota; Bacilli; Lactobacillales; Aerococcaceae. The record is from Rfam by way of RNAcentral.
CUGAGGGUAGCUCAGCUGGAUAGAGCAACGGUCUUCUAAACCGUGGGUCGCGGGUUCGAAUCCCGCUCUUCAGA